Molecule: ribosomal RNA, 253 nt
Filed under: uncultured bacterium
Lineage: Bacteria
Description: partial 16S ribosomal RNA
Rfam family: Bacterial small subunit ribosomal RNA
Source: RNAcentral
UACGAAGGGGGCGAGCGUUGUUCGGAAUUACUGGGCGUAAAGGGCGCGUAGGCGGCCGAGCAAGUUAGAUGUGAAAGUCCUGGGCUUAACCUGGGGACUGCAUUUGAUACUGCUUGGCUUGAAUUCGGGAGAGGAUAGCGGAAUUCCCAGUGUAGAGGUGAAAUUCGUAGAUAUUGGGAAGAACACCGGUGGCGAAGGCGGCUAUCUGGACCGAUACUGACGCUGAGGAGCGAAAGCCAGGGGAGCAAACGGG